Molecule: non-coding RNA, 28 nt
Filed under: Mus musculus (house mouse)
Lineage: Eukaryota; Metazoa; Chordata; Mammalia; Rodentia; Muridae
Source: RNAcentral
UGCAAAAAUACAUAAGCACAGAUGGAUG